This 2191-nucleotide long non-coding RNA is filed under the name Actinidia chinensis (golden kiwifruit). Its description in RNAcentral is "long non-coding RNA (ACHI_LNC001450)". Lineage: Eukaryota; Viridiplantae; Streptophyta; Magnoliopsida; Ericales; Actinidiaceae. The record is from RNAcentral.
UGUAUCCUCCACAGCGGUCACCAAGGGCUCAGAACAAGUCCUCCGACUAAAAGGAAAUGGGCAAACCCAGAAUCUUAGCCCACAAAGCCUCAGGUCUCUGCUUGUCCACAAAAUAACCACUCCGAUCCUCCCAAAGGUUCAAUUCCAAUCUAACUCCUUCGAAAUUCCAACACCCGUUAUGAAUUCUGCGUGCUUCUGCUCUUGACGGGAGGAUGAACAUGUACAUGGACCCAUUCAUGUCCUUAACUUCUACCGAAGUAAUUCCCCAGGUAUAACUGCACCAACUUGCAAGCUCCUUAGCAUUCGAGACUUCUCCGGUCCAAUCUACCAGCGUUCCAACCAAGCAUCGGUCUUUGAGGAAGGGAAUUACUGAGCACGACACCGGGAUGACCUUCACAACUUAUUUCGGUCCCCCACCCAUCGGUUGAACCUCGCAACUCAUCGGCGGCCAACUCCCGGAAGCCGCUGCCUGGAGAUAGGUCAUCUUCACCCCCGGCUCGAGAUUGACUGAUCCCUGCGUAACAAUGUUGACACGGCCAACGACUUUACGACUGUCCUUCUCCCUCCUCCCAGAAUUGAAUCCGAACAAGGCAUUAGAAAGGUCCCUCCAACCGGUCCCAUACUCGGAGGCUGGAAUUGAAAUCCUUUCCUUAACUGUAGACGAAAUGACUGCUGCCACCACAAACUCUCCUAUGCUAUUAUGUCUUCUGAAAACCUCCAAUCGUCUGUAGCCCCCUCUCAGACUAGCGUAUAAGCCCCGAUGGUGGAACGAUUCUCACAAAAGGGGUCACCAAUCUCGAAGCUGACAAAAACCCUAGCCUCCUCCAUCCAGACAACCUCUCUCCCUUCAGCCUCCUUUCUUCCUUUUCUUUGCAAAAUUCUUCCCUUUCGGCGUGAUUUGCAGAUCUCGUGCGACGUAAACCACCGAUGGUGUCAGGGCCUUGUUUGUGGGCAAACCCAAAAUCCUAACCCAUAAAGCCUCAGGUCUUUGCUUGUCCACAAAACAACCACUCCGAUCCUCCCAAAGGUUCAAUUCCAAUCUAACUCCUUUGAAAUUCCAACACCCGUUAUGAAUUAUGCGUGCUUCUGCUCUUGAUGGGAGGAUGAACAUGUACAUGGACCCAUUCAUGUCCUUAACUUCCACCGAAGUAAUUCCCCAGGUAUAACUGCACCAACUUGCAAGCUCCUUAGCAUUCGAGACUUCUCCGGUCCAAUCUACCAGCGUUCCAACCAAGCAUCGGUCUUUGAGGAAGGGAAUUACUGAGCACGACACCGGGAUGACCUUCACAACUUAUUUCGGUCCCCCACCCAUCGGUUGAACCUCGCAACUCAUCGGCGGCCAACUCCCGGAAGCCGCUGCCUGGAGAUAGGUCAUCUUCACCCCCGGCUCGAGAUUGACUGAUCCCUGCGUAACAAUGUUGACACGGCCAACGACUUUACGACUGUCCUUCUCCCUCCUCCCAGAAUUGAAUCCGAACAAGGCAUUAGAAAGGUCCCUCCAACCGGUCCCAUACUCGGAGGCUGGAAUUGAAAUCCUUUCCUUAACUGUAGACGAAAUGACUGCUGCCACCACAAACUCUCCUAUGCUAUUAUGUCUUCUGAAAACCUCCAAUCGUCUGUAGCCCCCUCUCAGACUAGCGUAUAAGCCCCGAUGGUGGAACGAUUCUCACAAAAGGGGUCACCAAUCUCGAAGCUGACAAAAACCCUAGCCUCCUCCAUCCAGACAACCUCUCUCCCUUCAGCCUCCUUUCUUCCUUUUCUUUGCAAAAUUCUUCCCUUUCGGCGUGAUUUGCAGAUCUCGUGCGACGUAAACCACCGAUGGUGUCAGGGCCUUGUUUGUGGGCAAACCCAAAAUCCUAACCCAUAAAGCCUCAGGUCUUUGCUUGUCCACAAAACAACCACUCCGAUCCUCCCAAAGGUUCAAUUCCAAUCUAACUCCUUUGAAAUUCCAACACCCGUUAUGAAUUAUGCGUGCUUCUGCUCUUGAUGGGAGGAUGAACAUGUACAUGGACCCAUUCAUGUCCUUAACUUCCACCGAAGUAAUUCCCCAGGUAUAACUGCACCAACUUGCAAGCUCCUUAGCAUUCGAGACUUCUCCGGUCCAAUCUACCAGCGUUCCAACCAAGCAUCGGUCUUUGAGGAAGGGAAUUACUGAGCACGACACCGGGAUGACCUUCACAACUUAUUUCGG